GGAGAUGGAACAAGGAGGAGAAAUCAUCCAAAGUGAUUAGCUUCAUAUCUAAAACCUUAAGAACAGAGAACAGCUCCAGAUAGAUAAAUUUAACUUCUUCAACGAGUCUUUUUCUUUUCUUUUUCUCGCCUUUAUUGCCAGACAUGCAAAUUGAAUUUCGAACAUGUUUUGCUGCAGCAGCAGCUUGCUUUGUCAAAACAAUACCCUUCUUCGAAGCAUGCAACAGCCUAGCUUUUUGAUUUGGUGAUAUCUAUAAAAUUAUUUUUGUUUUCAAUUCUGAGAGCGUAUUUUUUUUGAAGUUUUCUUUUGAUCUUGUAUAAGUUGUUGAAGUUUGUGUUUCUUCCGUGUUGAGGUUUUUGUGUUUCUGUUACAGGGACUUAGAUCUUUGGCUAAGUGCAAAUUAUGGAAUUAGAUACCAUCUUUGAAUCUUUGAUAUAGCCCAAGCACGUCUCAGUGUCGUGUGUCAGAUACUGACGCUUCCUACUAUGGCUGCACUUUAAUUUGGUCAUCACUACCAAGACUUUUACGCUUUAGUCUUUUGUUUGAUUUGAUACACAACAUCUACUUUUGUCGGAUUCUUUGAGCUGUGUGAGUUUUGCAGGGAGAUGCAUUUAUCCCGUUUCGCAGAAAGCUGAGAAAUAUGGUGGAUAUCCAGAAUGCCUUGAUACAACAACCAGAACGGAAAAUAACUCCAGAUAGUUAAAUCAAUUUUUUAUGGGUCAUUCUUUACCAUUUUUAUUUCCGGCCUUUGAUUGCAAGGCAUACAAAUUGAUUUUUGAACGUGUUUUUCUGCAGCGUUGUUGUGUCCAACUAAUAACCUUCAUCAGAGCAUGGAGCUUAGCAUUUCAAUUUUUGAUUUGGUGAUCUCCAUUAAAUUCUUUUUAUAUUGAUUAUAUUUUUUGGUUCUGAAACCAUAUCUUCUUUGAUUUGGUGUUUACUCUCUGGUGUUGCAGGAUAGUUAAUAUGUUAACAGACGAUUUCUUCUAGUUCUAUUUUCCUCUUGUUUGAUCUUCAUGGCUGUUGAUUUUUUGCUUUCUUGAUUCUCUUAG
RNAcentral lists this long non-coding RNA (1049 nucleotides) under Lathyrus oleraceus (garden pea). RNAcentral describes it as "Pisum sativum (pea) long non-coding RNA (PSAT_LNC021817)". Lineage: Eukaryota; Viridiplantae; Streptophyta; Magnoliopsida; Fabales; Fabaceae. The record is from RNAcentral.